GGGGCCCUGCCCGCCACCAGCCCGCAGCCAUGCAGAGCGCGACCCCCGCCGCCCCGCCGGCUCUGCACCUCCUUACCUCCUACUUCAUCGACAGCAUCCUGGGCGCGGGCCGGCACGGUGAGGGGCGGCAGGGCUGGCGGCGGGCCCGGCGGGGUGCUCCCCGCUCUCGCCCCGGUAACUCCCCGCUUCUCUCCCCUCAGGCGAGGAGCGCCCGGCGGAGGAGCCGGUGGGGACGGGGCGGGGGGGGCGCCCGGCCGGCGCGGAGGCGGCAGCGGGCAGCGAGGCGCCGGGUCCGGCCAAGAGGAAGCAGCGGCGGUACCGCACCACGUUCAGCACCUUCCAGCUGGAGGAGCUGGAGCGCGCCUUCCGCAAGUCCCACUACCCCGACGUGUUCACCAGAGAGGAGCUGGCCGUGCGGCUGGACUUGACGGAAGCCCGAGUGCAGGUCUGGUUCCAAAACAGAAGGGCAAAGUGGAGGAAACGUGAAAAAAAUGAAAUUCUGGGGACUGUUCCAGGAAUCUCCUUAACGCACCCACUUGGUCUAUUUUUGGAUGUUCCACUGAGUCAUUCUCCCCUCCUAGAUCACACGUGGAGGUCAAUGCCUCUUUCAACACUGGCUGUGCCAUCUGUGUCUCCAGCCUUUAGUCCUUCAACCUUAGGGCCAUUUGGCCUCAGCAGCCUUACCUGGACUUCUUUCUUCAGAAAUCCUAUUUUAAAUCCACAUUUUGGAAGGUUUCUGAAUGCUUUAAAUCCUCUCAUGACAACAGCUUCAGUACUAAUGAAAGCUCCUGGACCCCCGUCAGACCCUGCUCUUACUGCCUUCACUGAUCCAGCAGCAGUUGAAAGGAAAACGUCAAGCAUCGCGGCACUAAGACUCAAAGCGAAAGAACAUUCAGCACAAAUCCCUCAAUUAAACCUCAUCUCCAGUCUUACAAACACUAACAAAGAACUUUGUUAGGAGCUCUCCCAUAGUCUACAGCCACGCAGGAGGAAGUGAAUGCCUGCUCCAAUCAGUAGCUCACGGUAGACACACACAUUUGAAAAAAGAAAGAAAACACACACACGGAGACUACAGAAACACUGUAGUUUCUCCAUCUUCAGUAAUGGACUGAAAGGAAAUAACCCCACUAAAAAUUGGUUUCCUUUGUUACGACAUGAAAUCAGGUAGUAAAUUUGGCUUGUGGCAUUUCUAACAGUACAGAAAUAGCAGCAGGAACUAUGUCAUCUUUGUCAUUCAGGCUAACAUGAAUCUGAAGCUUUGAAAUCCCCAAACUCACCAGAUGCUAGUCCAAAGGUCCAAAAUUCUUUGUAGGAAUAAGCAGUUUUCUAAGCAAUUCUUAACUCAUUUCUCAGGAGGAACUCUUACAUGCAAUACUUGAGACGUAAGAAUCAGUACACAGUUACUAACUUUGAGACCAUGCUUCAUGUUGAAGUGCAAAUGCCAGUGAAAUUUUGCAUUUUAGACAGACUUAGCACGAAUGAGAUGGGGACUAUUUUCAGUCAGGCUUCUGAUUCAGAACUAGGUUUGUAUAAAGGGUACCUUACUUCAAACUAAAAUAAUAAUAAUGUUUGCUUUAUGUUCAGGGUGGCAAUGUUUUAAUAAUUAAAAAAGUUUAACCUUUGUAUAUGAAAACUGUAUCCUGUGAAAGUAGGUUCUCAAUGUGCAGUAAAUUCUGUGUAGUUCUUUAUCUAUGUAUAUAUGUCUCAAUAAGUAGCUCAUUGCUGUAAAUAGGAGGUUGCUGAAUGCUUUUAGCAUGGUUACUGGCACAUCUUACCAGAACAAUAAGUUAACAGAUUACUUGUGCAUUUCCAGACAUUCCAUGCUUUGAGUAGAUUCAGAAUUUAAGUGAAAACUAAACAUGACGUGUUAAAUUCUUCCUUGGACUGAUGUUGGAAUGUGUGAAAACAGAGGCCUUACUGAGCAUAAGUCCACAGUUCAGCAAACCCCUGCACUCCCUAUCUGGGCUCAGACAGGUCAUUUUAAAGUUUCUGCUGAAUUUCGCCAUCCAAGAAAUGAGCCUGAGAACAUCUCUCUCAUCUCCAGGUCUGACGCUUUAGUGUAAAGCGAGGGUAAGUACUAUACUCCUUUUGCAGCUUACUCACCUACCUCACAGGG
Molecule: long non-coding RNA, 2116 nt
Filed under: Strigops habroptila (Kakapo)
Lineage: Eukaryota; Metazoa; Chordata; Aves; Psittaciformes; Psittacidae
Description: lncRNA (ENSSHBG00005014834.1)
Source: RNAcentral